AGUCUUCUAUAAGGUAUGACUUAUAUUGCUUUUUUGUAAAAUAAAUACUAAUGUAUAAAUCUGUGGAAACCUGUUUCUAAAAUCCUCGGCAUAAAAUUAAUUCCCUCAUUCAAUUUUUCAUUUGGCAAUUAGCAUCAUCUUAUAAACUUUUACUAUUCACUUAUGGGUAAUGAUCGUAUGUCAUAUAUUUUGAAUUUUACUUAGAUUUUGUGGUGUUAUUAUGUUUUGUUUUUUUCACAUUCAUUUCUAAAGAUAUGUCAGGUUUAUUUAACGACUUUUAAAAGUAUUUUGAGAUUGUUUUGCUAGUUGAACUCGUUUUUAGUCAUUUUUAAUCAAGAGUCAGUUGGGGAAGUUUGAAAAGCAUAAAAAAUAACGAAAGAAAUUCUGCAUUGUUUUUAUAAUGAUGCAGAACAUAAAUUUGUCCAAAAAAUACUUUGUUUAAAAAAUUAACUUAAAUAUGGCAGCUCUGUCAUAUUGUAUUGCUACAUGUAUCUGCAAAUAACAUUAACGGUACCAAUUUUCUGAACCAGAUGUGAAUUUCGACAAUACAUGUCUCUUCAGUGAUGCUCGAGGCCAAAAUAUGUAAAAUCCAAAGCUUAUUUAAAAAAUGAAGAUCUAUAUUCCAAAAGUUCCAAAAAGUAUAGCCAAAUCCGUGAAAGGAAUAGUUUCAUGUUUUCAUCGCUAUUUCAUUAAAAUAAUUUUAUCAAAAAGAUAACAGGGCAUUGUUCACUGCAAUAAGUCAGAAAUGAGAUUGUGUACAAGAGAAGGAAAAUACAAGACAUAUUUUCAAUCUUAUAAGUUGACGACAAACUUAAAACGCAAUUUCAAAAUAUCGACACACGACGGAGAGACUUACAACAAUCUUUGAAACACAACAAUGAUAACUAAGGAUUCAGAAACACAAAUCAAAUCAAAAACAAGAAACAGAUGUAGCAUUGGAUGAAUUUGAAUUUAUCGUAAAUGUAAAUUUACUUUCGUAACCAUAUCAGACAGAGAUAACAUUAGUUGUUUCACCGAGGACAACGUCGUAGGUCAAAACAGGUAUUUUUUCAAAAGUCAAUUAAACCACACAUUUUCAGAAACAAAAGACAGUAAUUGUUUUUUUCUCCGUAUUCCGUGAGAGAAAAUAUGAUCACGCCAAUUAUUAACCGAAACCAAUUGUACAUUAAACGAUUUCACCACUAUUAUGCACGUUAAUUUACGAGACUUGUUGCGCAGUGAAUAUAUUUUUCACAACAUUACUAUCGACAUGGUAUCGCAUUGGUAGACCUUUAACCAAGGCAUAGUUUAAUUUCACCUUUUUGACUGAGUCGAGUAAUGCAUGCAUAUGUUCUUUUUGAAUUCUUUCAAAUCCUUCAUUGUUACUGUUUACCGUGAUCAGAAUCUGCUGAUAAGAUUAUAGAACAUAGAUUUUUUGAUGCAAUAUUCAUUAACUCCAUUUCAUAUAGUAUUCAUUAGCAUAAUGUUUUUAACUUUAUUGAUAUUUCUGACAAAUUAUAUAUUUUUCAAAAAAUUUUAUAUUUCCUAAUUAGAUAAUCAAAUUGAUUUUAAUUGAUAAUCAUGAUUACUGUUCAUUAGCAAUCACCUGUCAUCAUUAAUGUUCUUUCCAAACUGGAUUCAGUUUUUGUAUACAAAAAACGGAAUUGCAAUUUUGUCAACCUGCAUUGAACAGUUUCACACAUUUGUAGCCCUUUAUUUCCUUUUAUAUCGUCACGAAAAGUUGAGUAACACAUUACAACCAUAUCCAUCGAAAUUGUUAUGUCGAUGCCACUGCUGGUGGACGUUUCGUCUCCGAGGGUAUCACCAGCCCAGUAGUCAACACUUCGGUGUUGACAUGAAUAUCAAUAAUGUGGUCAUUUUUAUGAAUUUCCUAUUUACAAAACUUUGAAUUUUUCGAAAAACUAAGGAUUUUUCAUCCCGAGCAUAGAUUACCUUAGCCGUAUUUGGCACAACUUUUUGGAAUUUCGGAUCCUCCAUUCUCUUCAACUUUGUACUUGUUUGGCUUUAUAAAUGUUUUGAUAUGAGCGUCACUGAUGAGUCUAAUGUAGACGAAACGCGCGUCUGGCGUACUAAAUAAUUAUCCUGGUACCUUUGAUAACUAUUAUGUGACAGGUUCCUUUUUAUGGAAAAUCACUUGUAUAAAUGUAUGUGGUGUAUUGUGUUAAAUAGGAAAUAUCACAAUAUAAUGAACUAUUUUUUUCACAUCAUAUCCAGAACAAGCUAGAUAAUGAAUCCUUAAUUGUUGCUUUUUUCAAAUGAUAAGAAAUCGAAUUUGAUUUACUCUUCAUAAUAAUUUAAAGACAAAACCAAAAUAACAUAUGAAGAUUAAAUGAAAAUGGAGAAAAUUUGAAAAUACAUCUUGAAGUAGAACUUAUUGACUUUUUUAUUUAGGUUUUCAAGUUUAACUCUGAAGCAUGCAGAAGAUUCUUCUUUUCUUAGCUCUGGUAUUGCUCUUAGCUGGUGAGUUGCACAUUAUAUAUUAUCUACAUCAUUUGCAAAGAAGGAAGCAACAAUUAAAGAUACGGAGGAAAGAUUGAGUACUUCAAACUUGUUGAACCCUCAACCAGGUUGUGGUAUUGUGUUAUUGGGUUGCUGUCACAAUGACACACACAACUGUAUCUCAUUAUAAUCACGCCUUGCUGUUGAUACCAAUUAAAGAAUUUUAAAGAUUUUGAUCUGAAAUAACAUUUCAUGUUAGAAGAAAUUUUUUAAAAAUAUAUUUUAAUCUCUCUUCUUUUUUAUUUGCAGUGACCAUAUCAUUAUUGGUAAUAGACCUAAAAAAAACACUUAGAUAAAUAAAGAUAAUAAUUUAUCGUUGAUUUUUGUAUUCCAAUUUUUCAAUUGCCUUUAAUCGUUUGCUCCAUAGCAAAUUUUGCAUGAUACAAAAUACAAUUUGCUCGUUUUUUCUGUGCAAAUUCUUUCAUAUUGACGUCGGAUUAUAAUCAUUAGUUAACAUAAACAAAUUUUAUAAACAAAACACAACAACCAAGGUGCAAUCAACACUUCAUUUUGUGAGAUACCAUGCAUUAGCUACCCCUUAUAGUUUGAUUUUAUUUAUAGCAAUCUAUUAUAAAACUAUAUAUCACUGAAAUCAUAGUUCACUUAAGUUUUUAAGAAUUGAAAAAUGACGUGUAAUUUAACCAUAUUCUUUUACAUUAAUUCGAAUAAAGAUAACACUUUUUAUGCUUCAGUUUUAUUUUUUUUUUAAAUGUUAGAAAUCACAUUUCUCAUUGUUUCUGUCUGUUACUUGAUUUAUCUCAUUUCCGCCGUCUGUCUACUAUUCAGAAACCUAGCGAAAGUGUAAUAAAUUAAAGAUACAAAAAUGACUAUAAAAUACAAAAUAAAAUGGGUUUUGGUUUCUUCAAAUGCAAAGUUUUUCUUCGGUGUCCUUUGUAAUCUGUUCAACGUACGCUUUCGUCUGUGUCAUUGACAGUUUUAAUUUACUAGCUUAACAGUAAACUCUCCCCCGAAAAGGUGUAUAUAUUCAUAUAUCUAAUUUAAAAUUAUAUCAAAAGAUGUUUUGAAUAAAAGAUAUCCUCCUUCAGCAAAAGCAGUCUGGUGUAAAAUGUCGUCCCUAGUUUAAUAACUUUCAAAAAUCUGUGUUUAACUAGUAUGAUUGUCAAGAUGUUUGAAAAUUAUCGAAGCUAAUGACGCCAUUUUACAGAGAUUCGACUCCUUUGACAAAUACAGAUAUACCAGUAUUAAAGUUGCAGAGUUGCCGUCGUCAAUUUGGAAUUUAAAGGUCAAAUACUGGGCGUCGAUUCAAGAGCAACACCAAAAGAUUUUGACUACAAGGCAUAUAAUUGAACUUCGAUUUGGAGUCAGAUUUAGGACAUCGAUUUGAAGAACGGGAUACUAUUAGAACCCAGUCAUCGAUAUGAGUUAAUAUAUAACAGAACAAAACUAACAAGAAACUAAGGACAAGCAUACACAUUUCUAGUCAAUUAGUUAAAGUGAAGCAGUUCGUCGGCAGGUUUACCAAAACUAACCGAAAUGACUUUAUUUCAGUUAUGGAACAAACUAUAGGACAGAAAUGUUCUUUACAAUAUUGUCGUCAAAGGCCUAGAAGUGAUUGUGGAUGUAAAGGCUGUUGUUGGGGUAAAUUGAAUUGUCGAUUUGGUAGCUGUCAAAGACACAGGGGAAAUCGACGAAGGGGGCUAAAC
RNAcentral lists this long non-coding RNA (4163 nucleotides) under Mytilus galloprovincialis (Mediterranean mussel). The record is from RNAcentral. Lineage: Eukaryota; Metazoa; Mollusca; Bivalvia; Mytilida; Mytilidae.